CGCGGUGGCUAGCAAGACGUACAACUUAAAGAAGGGCCAGACCCAUACCUUGGAAGACUUCCAGCGAGUUCUUGAUGUGAAUCUCAUGGGCACCUUCAAUGUGAUCCGCCUGGUGGCUGGUGAGAUGGGCCAGAAUGAACCAGACCAGGGAGGCCAACGUGGGGUCAUCAUCAACACUGCCAGUGUGGCUGCCUUCGAGGGUCAGGUGUGUGGGCAGGGGUCUGUUUGGCACCCCACUGCUGACCAGCCUCCCAGAGAAAGUGUGCAACUUCUUGGCCAGCCAAGUGCCCUUCCCUAGCCGACUGGGUGACCCUGCUGAGUAUGCUCACCUCGUACAGGCCAUCAUCGAGAACCCAUUCCUCAAUGGAGAGGUCAUCCGGCUGGAUGGGGCCAUUCGUAUGCAGCCUUGAAGGGAGAAGGCAGAGAAAACACACGCUCCUCUGCCCUUCCUUUCCCUGGGGUACUACUCUCCAGCUUGGGAGGAAGCCCAGUAGCCAUUUUGUAACUGCCUACCAGUCGCCCUCUGUGCCUAAUAAAGUCUCUUUUUCUCACAGAG
RNAcentral lists this long non-coding RNA (556 nucleotides) under Homo sapiens (human). RNAcentral describes it as "non-protein coding lnc-HSD17B10-1:1". Lineage: Eukaryota; Metazoa; Chordata; Mammalia; Primates; Hominidae. The record is from RNAcentral.